CAGCGCCACGAGUGGUAACCACGUUUAUUGGGCCUAAAGCGUCCGUAGCCGGUUUGAUAAAUCUUUUGUGAAAUUGUACAGCUUAACUGUACAGCGUGCAAGAGACACUGUCAAACUUGAGACCGGGAGGAGUCAGAAGUAUUCCAGAGGGAGCGGUAAAAUGUUAUAAUCUCUGGAGGACUACCUGUGGCGAAGGCGUCUGACCAGAACGGAUCUGACGGUGAGGGACGAAAGCCAGGGGAGCGAGCCGGAUUAGAUACCCGAGUAGUCC
RNAcentral lists this ribosomal RNA (271 nucleotides) under uncultured archaeon. RNAcentral describes it as "partial 16S ribosomal RNA". It matches the Rfam family "Archaeal small subunit ribosomal RNA", at positions 477 to 747 of the family's 1478-position model. The record is from RNAcentral.